AUUGAACGCUGGCGGCAUGCCUUACACAUGCAAGUCGAACGGCAGCACGGGAGCAAUCCUGGUGGCGAGUGGCGAACGGGUGAGUAGUACAUCGGAACGUGCCUAGUAGUGGGGGAUAGCCCGGCGAAAGCCGGAUUAAUACCGCAUACGACCUGAGGGUGAAAGCGGGGGAUCGCAAGACCUCGCGCUAUCAGAGCGGCCGAUGCCAGAUUAGGUAGUUGGUGGGGUAAAAAGCCUACCAAGCCGACGAUCUGUAGCUGGUCUGAGAGGACGACAAGCAACACGGGGACGAAGACGGGGCCCAGACCCCGGGGGGAGGCAGGAGGGGGGAAGUUUGGAGAGUGGGCGCAAGCGUGUCCCAGCCAGGCGGGGGGAAGGAAAAAGGCCUGGGGGUUGUAAACUGUUUUUGAAAGGGAAAAAAAGUUCUGGGCAAAUCCCCGGGGGCAAUGCCGGUACCUAAAGAAAAACCCCCGGCUAACUACGUGCAAGCAGCCGCCGUAA
Molecule: ribosomal RNA, 501 nt
Filed under: uncultured bacterium
Lineage: Bacteria
Description: partial 16S ribosomal RNA
Rfam family: Bacterial small subunit ribosomal RNA
Source: RNAcentral